UACGUAGGGUGCAAGCGUUGUCCGGAAUUAUUGGGCGUAAAGAGCUCGUAGGCGGUUCGUCGCGUCGGCUGUGAAAACCCGGAGCUCAACUCCGGGCCUGCAGUCGAUACGGGCGGACUUGAGUGUUGCAGGGGAGACUGGAAUUCCUGGUGUAGCGGUGAAAUGCGCAGAUAUCAGGAAGAACACCCGUGGCGAAGGCGGUUCUCUGGAACGCAACUGACGCUGAGACGCGAAAGCGUGGGGAGCAAACAGG
This 253-nucleotide ribosomal RNA is filed under the name uncultured bacterium. RNAcentral's name for it is "partial 16S ribosomal RNA". It matches the Rfam family "Bacterial small subunit ribosomal RNA", at positions 524 to 776 of the family's 1533-position model. The record is from RNAcentral.